This 18-nucleotide transfer RNA is filed under the name Muntiacus vaginalis. RNAcentral's name for it is "partial tRNA-Glu". The record is from RNAcentral. Lineage: Eukaryota; Metazoa; Chordata; Mammalia; Artiodactyla; Cervidae.
UCAUUCAACUACAAGAAC